CAGCUUUGACAAACCAGACCAGAUGGCUGCACUGUUUAAAAGAUUAUCAUCUGUUGACAGUGUCUUGAAGAGGAUGACAAUAAUUGGUGUAAUUUUAUCCUUCCGAUCAUUGGCACAAGAAGCACUUAGAGAUGUAAGAAACCAUUACAAGUAUAUACUCGGUCUUAUCCUACCACAUUCCUUUUCUUGUAAGUUCAAUUGAAGAUUUUAAGGAUCACAUUCCAAGGGAAACUGAUAUGAAGGUUGCAAUGAAUGUGUAUGAGUUAUCAUCAGCUGCCGGAUUACCUUGUGAGAUUGAUCCUGCAU
RNAcentral lists this long non-coding RNA (306 nucleotides) under Homo sapiens (human). RNAcentral's name for it is "non-protein coding lnc-FRZB-5:1". The record is from RNAcentral. Lineage: Eukaryota; Metazoa; Chordata; Mammalia; Primates; Hominidae.